This is a ribosomal RNA of 513 nucleotides. The stretch from base 384 to 513 matches the Rfam family "Bacterial large subunit ribosomal RNA", at positions 2473 to 2602 of the family's 2925-position model.
UUUUGAAAAUAAUAAAAAGUCUAAUCUGCCCACUGAAUUUAUUUAAAGGGCUGCAGUAUAUUGACUGUACAAAGGUAGCAUAAUCAAUAGUCUUUUAAUUGAAGACUUGUAUGAAUGAUUUGAUGAAAUAUGAACUGUCUCUUUUUUAAAAAUAAAAUUUAAUUUUUUAGUUAAAAAGCUAAAAUAAUUAUAAAAGACGAGAAGACCCUAUAGAGUUUUAUAGUUAUUUAAUUUAAAAAUUUUAUAUAUAAUUUAAAUUUAAAAUUAAUUAAUUAUUUUAUUGGGGUGAUAGAAAAAUUAAAAAAACUUUUUUUUUAAAAUUUAACAUUAAUUUAUGAAAUUAUGAUCCAUAAUUUAUGAUUAAAAGAAUCAAUUACCUUAGGGAUAACAGCGUAAUUUUUUUUUUUAGUACAAAUAAGAAAAAGAGUUUGCGACCUCGAUGUUGGAUUAAGAUAAAAUUUAAAUGCAAAAGUUUAAAAUUUUUGAUCUGUUCGAUCAUUAAAAUCUUACAUG